This 963-nucleotide long non-coding RNA is filed under the name Chinchilla lanigera (long-tailed chinchilla). RNAcentral describes it as "lncRNA (ENSCLAG00000023559.1)". The record is from RNAcentral. Lineage: Eukaryota; Metazoa; Chordata; Mammalia; Rodentia; Chinchillidae.
AUGCCGGAACUUCCCAGACCUCCUUGUGGCCACGCUCUCGGCCUUUCUCAGCCAAGCCUCCUUCACCCUCUGCACCUUGGGGUUCGAGUCACCUCCAGCACAUCCUGGCCAGAAGGGGCACCGUAUCUCUUCGGCUCUCUGAACCCCGGAAGGACAAGGAGCGCAGGGGCCUCGCGGGUUUCACACUCGGCACUCAGCGGUGAUGCCAAAGGAUGCUCUUUCUGUCCAUAAAAGAUUCGAAAGCAGUCCACACGCGAGAUCCGACUUUUGAUCUGCUUUGCUAGCUUUAUUGCUUUAAAAGAGAAAAAGUGUCCAUUUCCUUAUGAAAUACACUACUGCAAAUGAGGUAAAAGUCCUAAUGGGCUUUUCUUACUCUGAAUGCAAAAAUUUUGAAUAAAUAUGGCCUCUACUUAUGUAGAUGUAUAUUUUGGAAUAUAACUCAGAUAGCUAUGCCUUUUUCUGCGAAUUCAGCCCUCUAAUUUAGAUCGAAGGUAUUUCUCUGUGUAUGUGCAUGUGUGUGCUUGAAUAUAGAAAGGGAAAAAAUUAUUUCCCAACUGUGUUUAGUUACCAUUAAAAUUCUUUUUUUUUCUUAUUAUUACCAGAGGAGAUUCUGCACUCACACACCUCUUAAUACGGCUAAACCAUAUGCAUUUAAAUUUUGACACUGAUAACAAAAAAUUUAUGGGAAAAUGUCAGUCUAGUCAGAAUUUUAAACUGGAGUGGGGAGCGAUCUGGAGGGUGUGGCAGUAACGUCUGUCUCAGCACAGAUGUGUGCAAUCUGUAUGUACCUUUCAGGGGUAGAAUCCUCCAGAGAAAACAUACGCACUGUAGACAGAUAAAUUUUGCUCCAGAACAGGCUAAUUCAUUUCAGUUUAACUGUUCAGCAUCUUUUCUCUUUCUUUCCUUUUUCCUUCUAUUUUCUUUUCUUCCCUCCCCCUCUUUUUCUUCCUUCCUUCUUUCCUU